This is a long non-coding RNA of Cottoperca gobio, 1175 nucleotides long. RefSeq lists it as uncharacterized. The transcript has 2 exons. The record is from RefSeq and is a predicted model, not a curated record. NCBI's taxonomy places the organism in Eukaryota, Metazoa, Chordata, Actinopteri, Perciformes, Bovichtidae.
UUACCUUACAUAAAAUAUCUGCAUACUUCUUUAUACAAGUAUUUCAUAAAUUCAUCAUAGCUGAUUAUCUAAGGAAAUUAAAUGAGCCACAAAUCUUAUCAAGAGUAAAAUAUAAUCAUUUAAGGUUCAAGUUCUUCAAAGAUCUGUCCUGUUAUGCCGUGUUUCUCUUUAUCAGCAGCAGCGAGGAAUCAUUUAUUUAAGGUCCUUGGCACACACAGUGGUAAAGAAUUCCUUCUUUAGGGGGCAAAAGUUCAGGGAUAAAAGGGAUCACUCAGGAGAUUACUCCCAUGUACGUAACACGGAUGCCUAGAACGCAAACAAAGAGCAUUAGGUUGCGCAGCUAGUUGCAGUGUUUGUGUGCUUUUCUUACCUUAUCCUCUCCAUUUGUCUUUUAUAUCACCAAAUGAAGAAAUUAAACUCAAAUUGUUGUCUUUGUACACUUCCCCCCGCUGCCAUAGGAUACUCCUUUUAGCUGUUUAAAUGAAACAUCUUUUCUUUUUUUUUCAUGCCUCCACUCAGGGCAGUGUUUUUCAAUCAGAUUAGUACAGCACAUUCUGUUCUGUUUCACUUCCUGAUGACUGUGCAGCCUGUAUCCCUGAAUGAACUCACCCGCGUGCUUCUGGUUACACCGAGACACUCAUUCAGAGACACACACAUUCUCGUAACUGCCUGUCAGAUUUUAGUGCUUCAAACCAUAUUUAGUAAAUGUUUAAGCCAAUUAUCAAGGAAUGCCUACUGUUUAUUGGUUUAUUUGAAGAAAAAAACAACCACUUUUUUAGUUGCUGUUUUCAACUCAACAGAAACAAGAUGUUCAUGAUGUUUCAGGAAGGAAGACAACAUCAGGCUGUGUGUCAAUAUAGAAAUGUAUUCAUGCAUUUCAGUUCAGCUCAGGUCAGCACAGUUCAUUGUUGACCUCCACUUAUGCAUACAAGACAAGAGGAAGUGCCAACCAAGCUACCAGGACACCACAGUACAGACGAGGGUUUGGAAAAACAAACAAAUCUCUGCCUGAGCCGAAGCCCUGAUGAGUUUUAGACAAAAUAUUGAUGUCUUUAUUACUAAUAGCUUGUUGUGGUGCAUGGUGUGGGCAGCUUGUUUUAUCAGCUCAAAAUAUCACAGUCAUUCUGUUUUUGCACUACUUUCUCUUUUAAUGUAAAUAAAAUGUUCUAUAACGA